RNAcentral lists this ribosomal RNA (207 nucleotides) under uncultured bacterium. RNAcentral describes it as "partial 16S ribosomal RNA". It matches the Rfam family "Bacterial small subunit ribosomal RNA", at positions 524 to 730 of the family's 1533-position model. The record is from RNAcentral.
GACGAGGGAUCCUAGCGUUGCUCGGAAUCAUUGGGCGUAAAGAGGGCGUAGGUGGCUUGGUAAGUCAGGUGUGAAAGCCCAGGGCUCAACCCUGGAAGUGCAUUUGAUACUGCUGAGCUUGAGUGUUGGAGAGGUCAUCGGAAUACCUGGUGUAGUAGUGAAAUACGUAGAUAUCAGGUGGAACACCGGAGGCGAAGGCGGGUGACU